This is a non-coding RNA of Paramuricea clavata, 902 nucleotides long. Lineage: Eukaryota; Metazoa; Cnidaria; Anthozoa; Malacalcyonacea; Plexauridae. The record is from the annotation of a GenBank genome assembly.
CCGGAUUGAAAUAUACUUUUAUUGAGCUUUCGACUCGGUACUUCGAGCCUUCUUCAGAAUACUGAGAUUAAAAUUACAUAUGUACAUUACUUAAUUAAAGUUUUGCGGUGUUGCUACGUUCCUGUAUACGUUGAGACCGUCUAAUUGGCUGUUCCGCGGUUGAUCUGAUUUCAUUGCUGGUUGAAGAAUGCGUUGUCACGGUUGAAUGAAUUUGGCUGCUAGGGAUGGCGUCAUUGGAAUGUUCGGAUUGUUGUGUUGCGGAUGUUGAAGGAAGUGUUAUUUGGAAGUUAGUAUUAGUCAUAGUAUCGUUGUUAUUAGUAGGACAUUUACGUGUUGUUUUAAGUUGUAAGUAAAUAGUGGGAAUUUCAACGUGUCGGUUAAUUGUAUUACCGUCUAUACUGUACCAUGCCUCUUUAAAUUCACGUGCGUGCUUUGUUUGUCCUCGUCCUAAUAGUUCGGUUUCUGUCCAGUUGAAGGUAUGGCAGUUGUCGUAUGUGUGUGCUGCAGGUAGUGAUUUAUAAUCGUAUCGUUUUAUGGCGUUUUUGUGUUCAGUUAUUCGUGUUUCAAUUUUCUUCGAGGUUUGACCUAUAUGUAUCGUUGUGGACAGUCUCUGCAAGGUAUCAUGUAUAUAGCAUUUUUUCUUUGUUUUGAUGCUGUUUUGUCUUUGUGUUUUGUGAAAUAUGACCUAAGUUUAUGUGCCGGUUUGUGUGCUACGUCAAUGUUGAAAGGUCGCAAUAAUCUGGCGGUCAUUUCAGAUGUACUGUUUAUGUAAGGUAGAGUUAUUCUUGUCUUUGAUUGUUCAGGUUGUUCGUCAGGUAUGUUACUCUGUUGUUUGUUACGUAUUUUUGUUAGUAUUUUGUUAACGAAGUUCCUAGGGUAGUUGUUUUUUAUGAAGGUCGAGA